This is a long non-coding RNA of Tigriopus californicus, 669 nucleotides long. RefSeq lists it as uncharacterized. The transcript is spliced from 3 exons. The record is from RefSeq and is a predicted model, not a curated record. Lineage: Eukaryota; Metazoa; Arthropoda; Copepoda; Harpacticoida; Harpacticidae.
UAGAAGCUUGUCGUGAUAUGGACUCUCGGAUCCGUUUGAGUGCAGCUCGAGCUCUUCCGGCCGCCAGUUUGCGCAGGGGGCCCGUAAAGACGUCGUCCUCGCUCUCGAGGUCCCGACACCGUCCUCGUUCCCGCCUAGGCCCCCAGGUCAGGCGGAACGAUGUCUUGUGAAGAAAGCCUCGUGUUGCGCUGUGGUCUGGGUGGACUUCUGAGGUGUGACCGUGGAUUCUUUUGAUCACAAAGAACGGAUCGGGUGAGUAGAUGGGUGGAACUUGCUCCGGCGGGUACUGUUAGUACCCACACCUGAUCGCCCCCUUGAUAUAGGUGAGGCCUGCGCUUUACUUUGUGAUGCUUGUCGUUGUUGGCGUUUGGUCUGCUCUUUUUCCCUCAUUUCAGCCAGCUCCCGACUACCGCCCGGAAUCCCAUGGCCGCCGAUGGGGUUACGCCUGUCGCAACGUGUGGAGUGUCCCUAUAGUCCGCCAAAGCCGUGGCUAGCGCAUACUCCAUGCCCACAGGCGUUUGGUCCGAUAGCUUGAUGGACUUGCCGAUUAUUUUCUAGCGCACUCUGCUGGAUUGCUCCGCGGGUGAUGGGCGGUGAGAAUGAGUGAACUUGACUGGUGUCCCAUAUUUGGCACAUAUUGGAACGCAUGGCGACAAUCGUGUGUUCGCC